Long non-coding RNA from Uranotaenia lowii, 228 nucleotides. RefSeq lists it as uncharacterized. The record is from RefSeq and is a predicted model, not a curated record. Lineage: Eukaryota; Metazoa; Arthropoda; Insecta; Diptera; Culicidae. The transcript is spliced from 3 exons.
AGCCUGGAACUUAGCGAAGACGCAUACGUUUUCGAACAAAAUAGAUGAAAACAACUCAGAGAGUUCCAAAAACCAGUGUUGAUUGUUUGGAUGCGAUGGUCGGAGACCAGUUACGGAAUAAUCACAGUAAUCAAGCAAUCUCUACGGAAGCCAUCAUUCACAACUAUAAAUCAGCUCAAAUUAGACAGAGUGUGCUGGUGGGUGAGCGUGGCAGGUGGGAUAGCACGU